GUGGGGAAUAUUGGACAAUGGGCGCAAGCCUGAUCCAGCCAUGCCGCGUGAGUGAUGAAGGCCUUAGGGUUGUAAAGCUCUUUCAGUAGGGAAGAUAAUGACGGUACCUACAGAAGAAGCCCCGGCUAACUUCGUGCCAGCAGCCGCGGUAAUACGAAGGGGGCUAGCGUUGUUCGGAUUUACUGGGCGUAAAGCGCACGUAGGCGGAUUGGUCAGUUAGAGGUGAGAUCCUGGAGCUCAACUCCAGAACUGCCUUUAAUACUGCCAGUCUAGAGUCCAGAAGAGGUGAGUGGAACUCCUAGUGUAGAGGUGGAAUUCGUAGAUAUUAGGAAGAACACCAGUGGCGAAGGCGGCUCACUGGUCUGGUACUGACGCUGAGGUGCGAAAGCGUGGGGAGCAAACAGGAUUAGAUACCCUUGUAGUCC
RNAcentral lists this ribosomal RNA (425 nucleotides) under uncultured bacterium. RNAcentral's name for it is "partial 16S ribosomal RNA". It matches the Rfam family "Bacterial small subunit ribosomal RNA", at positions 354 to 796 of the family's 1533-position model. The record is from RNAcentral.